Molecule: long non-coding RNA, 205 nt
Organism: Ixodes scapularis (black-legged tick)
Lineage: Eukaryota; Metazoa; Arthropoda; Arachnida; Ixodida; Ixodidae
Exons: 4
Source: RefSeq, a predicted model, not a curated record
AGCUCCCCCAACAACGUCGACCUCAAUCAGCUUAAGAAGCUCGCUUUAUAACUAUGAAGUUCGCUGGGCUCACUGUCAUCCUUGGCUUUGCCGCAUUUGUCGGUUGGGCUGAAGCAGGAAUUCUACAUCAAAGAAAAGUGUUGCAAGACUUCGUUGAGAAGUCUGACCUGCAACUCAGGCAACUCAAGAAACUACUACAAGGUGC